This 882-nucleotide long non-coding RNA is filed under the name Equus caballus (horse). RNAcentral's name for it is "lncRNA (ENSECAG00000056873.1)". The record is from RNAcentral. Lineage: Eukaryota; Metazoa; Chordata; Mammalia; Perissodactyla; Equidae.
UAAACAUGCUCUUUCCCCCCUUUUGUGUUUAUAGCUGCCCAGAAAUGAACAUCAAUAUUUAAAUGUCUGAAUUAUCUUAGGCUUGUAAAAAACCAAUUAGCUACUCCCUGGGCUCAGUGUUUGGGGCCUCCCUGGGGUAUAGUAUGGGACUGUUUAGUUCUUGCGGUCAGAGGCGGAAAGCUCAGGGAGAGGUCAGAGUGGCAAGGGGUCAUUGCAGGGUUAGUGGGGUCUCCUGGGACGAACUGUCCUGAAGGGGCAGGCCAGGGCGGGGUCAGGAGUCUGUGGCAGGCCUUGUAAGGCUGUCAGGAAGGAUUCAGCAGGACUGUUGGCAGCAUGCGGAACACUUGGCCAGAUUAGCUGCAUCAUGGAAAACAUGUCACAGACUCCAGCCUUCCAUUCUGGGAGGUUAGGGCCAUCUCUGGCUCCAGAACCCUGGAUCUGUUUGUGGCAACAGUGGACCCAGCUGCAGGUGGCAUACAGGAUUUCCCAACCUCCAUGGCAGCUGAGGGUGAUGAAAGAGGAGGUCGCUAUUGAAGAAAAUGGAGGAGGAAAUCACCCAGCUGGCAGAACCUGAGCUACCAGAUCGGCCAAUUAAAGAACUCAAUAUACUGCCAGGGAAAUGAUUCAACGCAUAGAUGCCAAUGAGACCUAGUAAAGUCAUCAUUUAUCUUAUUAUCCCUGACCAGCAGGAUAUUUUUUUGUGGAUAGAGGUUGCUGGAAUCACCUCCUGCCAAGGCCACACACACAAUGCGUGAAGGCAACUCCCAAAGGAAAUUAGAACACUCUGGGCAAGGAUCAAUAGCAAGGAUCAAUGCUACGUAGUGUUUGCCCCUGCAUGUGCUUCUCUAUCCCCCAUUACUAAGAGGGAAGUUUUGAUUCGCG